This is a long non-coding RNA of Cavia porcellus (domestic guinea pig), 5744 nucleotides long. RefSeq lists it as uncharacterized. The transcript is spliced from 6 exons. The record is from RefSeq and is a predicted model, not a curated record. NCBI's taxonomy places the organism in Eukaryota, Metazoa, Chordata, Mammalia, Rodentia, Caviidae.
CCAAAGCCAGCCCUCACAGUCACCACGGCCAAGAUCCUUGCAAGAAAUUCUUCUUUUGCUCUUGCCUGCUAUGGGACCUAAAUAUAACAUUUUUGUAUUGACUUCAGAUCGCCCUUCUUCCAGUUACAUGCUCAAUUCCAUGAACCCCUGCCCUCGGCCAUGUGCCACCCUGCCUUGGAGCCAGCAGAUUAGAGACUAAAACCUUCGCACAAACUGUGAGGCAAAUAAGGACAAGAAAACAGGGAACCAGGAGCAAUAUCUUCACUUAUAGUCAAGAAAUUGGAUGGUAUGGUUUUAUGGAGUGAACACAAUGCUAUGCUUCUGUCAACAGAAGACACUGGAGGCACACUGUAGGGGGAAAGAAGCUUUUCUUCCAGGUUUCCAUCAGCUGCAUUUUAAUUUCUUGUUUCUACUUAUAGUCUAUCAGUGGCCCACAUAUAUGAAGAACUUCAGAUAGUGCUCUGUCCAGACCAUGAAAUUCCAGCAAUAUCCAGACCAUGAAAUCCUUCAGUGAUUUUGGAGCAAUAGAAGAUGCAGAUGAAACUCCAAACACACUCAGCCAACUUAUCUUUGACAAAAGAGACAAAUAUGUUCACUGGAAGAAAGCUUCUUUAAUAAAUGUGGCUAUAAAAACUGGCUUUCCACAUGCCGAACACUAAAAUUACACCAAUGUCUAUUGCCAUGCACUGAAGCCAAAAUGGAUCAAAGAUCCAAAGAUUAAAACAGAAACACUAAAUCUACUGGAAUACAAAGUAGGUAGAAAUUUUGCAGACAGUAGUAUAGGUAGAGACUUCAUGAACAAACCCAGACUACAUGGGAAAUACUACAAAGAAUCAACAAAUGGGAUCUCACCUUAAUAGAAAGCUUUUGCACAACAAAACAAAUCACCGACAGAGUGAAAAGACAACCCACAGAGUGGGAAAAAUUAGUCACUUGUCCCUCUGACAAAGAAUGUAUCUCUAGAACAUAUAAAGAAUUGAAAGCAAUCAGGCCCCACAAACUCAAACUCCCAAUCCAAAAUGGACAGCUCUGAUUAAUACACACUUCUCAGAUGAAGAAAUACAAAUGGCCAAUGAAUACAAGAAAAAUGUUCAACAUCAUUGGUGGUUUGAGAAAUGAAAAUUAAAACAACACUGAGAUUCCAUUUCAUCCCAGUAAGAAUGGCGAUUAUCAAGACAUCAACCAAUAACAAAUGCUGCAGGGGCUGUUGAGAGAAAAAGGAACCCUUCUCCAUUGUUGGUGGAAAUAUAGACUGGCACAACCACUGUGAGAAUCAGUGUGGAGAUUUUUCAGAACACUAGGAUUAGAGGUACCAUUCAAACCAGGUAUUUUCCUUCUGGGCAUCUUCCUAGAAGAAUUAAAAACAUCAUACCACAGAGAUAUACGUGCACCCAUGUUUAUAGCUGCAAAAUUUGUAAUAGCUAGAUCUUGGAAACAAUGCAAAUGCCCAUCAACCGAGGAAUGGAUAAAAAAGAUGUGGUACUUUUGUGCAAUGGAGUACUAAUCAGCCAUAAAGAAAGAUAAACUGGAGACUUUUAUAGGUAAAUGGAUGGAACUAGAGACCAUACUCUUAAAUGAAAUUAAUCAAACCCAAUGUGUAAACGUUGCACUGUCUCACUAGUAUGAAAAGCUGAAUGAGUAAUUAAGACCCAAUAUGUACAACAGAUAUUGUGAAAUAGGAAGAAACAGUUCAAAAUAAUAGAGAAACUACAGUGGAGGAAAGGAAAAAUAAACGAUGGAAAAGGAAAAAAAUAUACACAAGAUAGUUAAAUAGUUGUACAGCUAGUUUCUUUAGUUCAUCAAAAAGAAAGGUUUGUGCUAAUAUUGUGUGGACAAUAUUUCAUGUCUAUAUCCUGCACUGAACAAGUACUAUGACUAUAAUAAUAUGUAAUAUAUUAUUUUUAAUCUAUUAUUUUGUUUUGAAAAUAUGUUUUAUUUUUAUUAUUUUUUCUUGAAAUAAUAGAACAAAUUUAUGUUUCUAAAUUAUUAUAAUACAUCUUUUGUUUCUUUCUGCUUUUUUCCUCAAAAGUAACUAUUAGUUGAUGGUGGGUUAGCCAUGAUCUAUCAUCUACCAUUUUUAUCUUCUAUUUUUUGAUUAUUUACUAAAUAUUCAAGUAUAUUAUUAAAGUUUGUUUUGUGUUCCACUGUGUCAAGUUUUUCACAAUACACAAUUUCCUUACAUUAUUGCUUAAUUUAUUUUUCUGUGUUGUUAAAUCUUACAGAAGUAUUUUUUAGUUCAUUUUGCUCUCAGUUUAUAGUGGCCUUAUCUUUUAUUCAGUAUGAUAUUCUUUUUUUUUGCGACUGCCUGCUUGCAAGGCAGGCACUUAUGCCGCUGAGCUAAAUCCCCAGCCCCGAUAUUCUUUUUUAUUAAUACUGGCAUUAUUCCUUUGACUCUUACUGAGAACAUAAAAGAAAUGUUCUCAUAACUCUACUUCAUGGGGAAGGAUUUUCUUGUAGUAUAUUAGAGGAUAUUUCUUGUCUUUCCUAUUCUUAUUGUUUAAUCAUGCUUAACAACUUAGAUUAUUUAAAUACAAGAUAACAAAAACUUGUUACUAUAAUAUAUACUGCUAUUUUUUAUUUUUCCCUUAAUUAAAAAGAUAAAAAGAAAAAAGUGAAUAAUUUUUAAAAAAGGGGGAUUGAGAUAAAAGAGGGCAUAACAACAGAACAGCACAGGUUAAAACAUAACCAUUUAAGCAAAUAGUGUUUCACCACAAGAUAUCUUGACAUAAAAAUAGUUACCAUAGUUUCUCUUUCCUUGAAAUCUUUGAGUAUAACUUUGUAUACUGUAGCACCAAACAUAUCAAGACACUAUAAAACCAUUCAAGAGAAUGAAAGUAUUACAGGGUAUUUAGAACCAAUUAACAGAAAAUGAAAAAUGGUUUCUGUAUAAUCUCCUUGUCUAUAAAAGUUUUUACUUAUGUUAUCAUAUAUAAUAAAAUCCAAUAAGAUAAAACCUUUUAAGACCAAUGGAGACAGAAGAAUACAAGUUUGAUGGGACUUUAAAACAAGAUGAUACUAAAUCAGCACUAGCUAUUAUGAUGUCUUGUUUUCUCCAAAAUAGCUGUUCCUACCAUCCAACCUUCUCUGCCUCAUUUCUGUUGAGCUCUUUUUCUGUCGUUUGUUGUCUCUUUUUCAUUUUGCUUUCUGCUCCAGUCAUUGUGGCCUCCCUGCCACUAUUUCUGGAAUCUUGGUAUUUUCCUUUUUAGAAUAUCCUGUAUUCUCUGUAAAAUUGAAUUGGUGGUUGCAAAUUCCCCUAGUUCCUCUUUAUCCUGGAAGCACCUUGUUUUUCCAUCAAUUUCUAGGGACAGUUGUGCAGGAUAUAUCAAUCUUGGCUGGAGGUUAUUAUCUUUCAAAGCUUGAAUUAUUUCCCCCCAUGCUCUUUGUGAUUUGAUGGUUUGUGCCGAGAAGUCUGCUGUAAUUCUGAUAGGUGUUCCCUUGUGAUCUGUUUCUUGUCUCUAAUGGCUUUUAAUAUUCUGUUCUUAUAUUGGGUUUCUGGAAUUUUGAUUAUUAUAUGCCUGGGUGUAGCUCUGUUUGAGUUGUAGGUGGCUGGGGUCCUGGAUGCCUCGUACAUCUGAGUAUCUUUACCAUUUGCUAAAUUAGGGAAAUUCUCUUGGAUUAUUUCUGUGAAUAGCUUUUGUAGUCCAUUUGUUUGUGUCCCUACUUCUUCUUUUAUGUACUUAAUUCUUAAGUUAUAGAUCCUCUUAGCAUCUUCUAGCCUUUGUAUUGUUGCUGUUUGCUUUUUUAUUUUUAAGAAGUUUUUCAUUUCAUGCUCCCAUAUUACAAAUCUGCCCUCCAGUUCAGAUAAUCUAUCCUUAGUUUCUUUCAAGCUGUUAUGCCCGUUUUUGAUAGAGUUUUUAGUUUCCUGGUAAUCUCUUUGAACCUGCUUCACGUAUUCUAUAUUUUCUCUAUUUUCUCCAUCAAACAAUUCUCCCUUUUUUCCUGUUCUUCCAUUUCACCAUCUGUUUUUUCUUGGGCAGUGCUUAGCAUUUCUCUAUCUAUUCUACUUAUAUCUUACUUUAGGGUCCACCUCCAGGCGCUGAGACCUGAUUUAGGCUAGCCUACUGGGUCUUAGUCAGCUGUGUCACGCAGGCCAUACACUCCCCACCAAGCCCACUUGAGAGGGAAAUAUGUGACUGAAGUCACUGCAACAACCUGUUCCAGCUAGUCUGCCCCGUCCCAGUAUGUCCUUUGCUGAAGCCUCCUGUGGAAGGGUCCCCGAUCCGCUCCCUAACCACAGGUUGAUGCAGGGCUCCUAGCCAGUCCCACUCUCAACUCCAUUCACCGCUUCCCAUUCUCAGAGCUUUCGCGCCUCUCUCCUUGCCGUGCCGAAUGUGACAUAGCAGUGGCUGCAGGAAAUUCAAAUCGCAGCUUCCAGUGGCGUGGGGUCCAGUUUCCGUGCUGAGACCUUAUCUGUUCCUGUUAUAUCACCAGGAUUGCGUUUCCAGUUGGUUUCUCUUAGUUUAGUUCGUUCCUGGGUCGGCAAAGUAUAUCUCCCCUUGCUUAGGAUUUCUCGCCCGGCACCAUUCCUGGAUUUUAAGUGCAGUUUCUCAGAGAGCCUCCGAAGCUGCUGCCAUCUAUCCACCAUGUUCUCCCGGAAGUCCAGUUGUUGAUUCUUUAAAGUAUUUCCCAUGCAGUUCAGGUUUUGUUCAUGAACUCUCUGUCUACCCCUAUGUCUUGAAGAUUUCUGUCUACUUUGUAUUACAGUAGAUUUAGUGUUUCUAUUUUAAUAUUUAGAUACUUGAUCCAUUUUGAUUUUAGUUUAGUGCAUGGUGAUAGAAAAUGGUCUAAUGUUAUUAUUCAGCAUGUGGAAGCCAGUUUUUCCAGCCGCAUUUACUAACGAGGCUUUUGUCUAGUAAAUAUAUUUGGCUCUUUUUUAAAAGAUAAGGUGGCUGAGUGUGUUUUCAUUUGUGUCUGUGUCUUCUAAUCUGUUUCACUGAUCUUCAGGUCUAUUUUUUUGCUAGUACCAUGCUGAUUUUAUCAUAGAAGCCUUGUAGUAUAUGGACAUCUAUCUAAAACAUAGAAAGAAGUGAAAAAAUCAGGCUACAAUGAUAUAUGUGCACCUAUGUCUAUAGCAGCACAAUUUGUAAUAGUGAAAUCCUGAAAAUAAUCCAAAUCCCCAUCAACUGAGGAAUGGAUAAAAAUAUAUGGUAUUUUUAUGCAAUGGAGUACUACUCAGCUAUAAAGAAAGAUAAUCUCAAGACUUUUAUAGGUAAAUGGAUACAACUCAAGACCAUACUCAUUAACUGAAGACAAUACUCAUAAGUGAAAUAAGUCAGAUUUGCAGCUAUAAACAUUGUAUUAUAUCCCUAGUGUAAGAAACUAAGAGUAAAUAAGAUCUAAAAUACACAACAGAUAUUUUGAAAGUGAAAGUAACUGCUCAAAAGCAAAGAACAACUGUUACAGGAGAAAGGAGAGAAAAAGGAUGGGAAAAUAAUGAACACACACAUACACACACAAACACACAUGACAGCUAAGAUAAUUAUACUGCUAAUUUGUAUUUGUUCAUUGAAAAGAAUGAUUUGUGGUUAUACUGUUUAAUCACUUUUUCAUGCCUAUAUCUUGUAAUCUGAGAAACUACUUUGAAGAAAACUAUGUAAUAUAUUAACUAUUGUUAAUCUCUUAUAAGCUUGCUUUCAAAUUAUGUAUCAUUAUUUUCAUUGUUUUUUUUCUUUAAAAAUAACAUUCUAGCCAGUGGAUAUGUUUAUUUUAUUUCUGAAAUAAAAGGAUGAGAAAAAGACAUAUAA